Long non-coding RNA from Triticum urartu, 3550 nucleotides. RefSeq lists it as uncharacterized. Lineage: Eukaryota; Viridiplantae; Streptophyta; Magnoliopsida; Poales; Poaceae. The record is from RefSeq and is a predicted model, not a curated record.
GUUGGAAAAAAACACAUGACACACGGGCACGUAUGCAUCGAAGGAGAGCCGGGGUACGGACGCCACCGCCGCCACCUGCGGAUGGUCUUCCUGUCCGUCCAUCCGCGCAGCCCACGCGGGCGAGCUGCCGAUCUGGCUGGGCUGCCGGGCCACGCAACGGACGGCAGCGGUUCGAGCAACUCCUCGACGCAGGGGAAAAGGUUGGCGGCGCUGGAGUUCGUCGGAACGGGCAGGCGGCCGGUGGGUGAAGCGAGGCCACGGCGCCGGCGCGAGUAAUACGGGCGGAUCCGGGGGCGGCAGCGACCGAUCUGGCUGCUGGUGCGGCGGCUUGCUCCGGUGGCGACGGCGUCCUGCUCAUCCAUAGAAAGAGAGACAGGGCAUGAGGGAGAAAGGAAUAAAGGAGAAGGAGCAGGGGGCGCAGAGUCAGGGAGGCGGUCGCUAGCGGUGGCAGCUCCGGCGACCGGCCGGCGGGCUUGCCAGGCAAGGCUAUGGAUUACGCUAGCCUGAGAUUCAAUAGAGACACGGUGAUUCUGGUCGGAGCCGUGGCUACGUGAUUCUGGUCGGCGUGCAUCCAUAGUCAGAGGACGCCGAGCCUUCCUCGCUGCCAGCAACAUCAGCUCGUCUCGGCAUGAGGUCUGCACGCUUACCUUGCCUUUCUAAUAGAGACUGAACUGCAAUUUUUGUCUGCGCUGCUUCUUAAGGUAGUCCAUGGUUUGUACAAAUAACCACAUGUAAAUCUUAAUUUAGUUGAUAUUGGAAAAGAUUGUUUCUUUCGAACCAUAUAUGUGGAGCAACUAGAAAUAGUACGUAUGUGAUUUUCCCAGGCUCCCACAUUAGACCAGUGCUCUAAUGUUUGUUCCAGGUUGAGCAUGGCAAUAAUGUACAGUUUGAACUUCGUGAUGGCAGAACUUUUUUGCCUUGAAGUAUUCUGUGAAUUACACCAUGAAUAGCAACAACAUCAGGCCAUUUGAGAGAAGGGGUGUCCCUGGAGUUCUCCCUAAAUCUUAUUGCAUUCUUAGUGACAAUGAGGAAUUAUUAUUCACUUGAGAAAAUAAAGAUUAAAUCGGUGAGGCUCUCAAAAAUGAAAUGACUUUCUGAGCUCGGCAUUGACUUUUUGAGCUAGAUAUUGACUUUGAGUAGCACAAUAUAGGUCCUAUCUGAAGCCUUCUGCGUGCCUGUUACAAUGAUCGUUUCAUUUUCCUUUGUAUAUUAACCAGCGAAUAUUAUUGUCUGCUAUAACUGCUGAAAGAUGUCAUAUUCUUUUGUUAUAAUGGUGUUUGCAGUAGGAGUGUAUGCCUCUCAUUCAAAGAAGAGGCUCAACAAUCUUUUGGAUGGGCUUAUGAUUACCACAUAUAUGAUCUUAUGAAGCAGGAGUUGAGAACUACAAAAUCCAUAUAUUCCUAGAAUGGAGCUGGUUGAAGUUGGGCCUUCAAUGGACAUGGUAGUUAGGUGGCACCGUCGUUUAGUAAAGCCAAUUUUUGAUGAGGAAAUGCACCAAAAAAAACUUUAGUGGAAGUGGAUUAGAUUGUUUUGUAGUCAUAUGCUCUUGAGAAAUUUUGCGCUUUCUUUAUUUCUUCUGAUUAUAAUUCUUUGUUUAUUUCUAACUGACAUGAUAUGCAAAAGAAAAUCCUGUGAUUUGUUUGCCCUCUCAUUGACCAUUUAAUUUUUCAGUCAUAGCUAUAUACAAAGAAGUAUUGUACAUAUAGUCAAGGUUUUUGAGUCGCCUAGCCAAGUCGAGUCGCCAUGCCUCCGACUAGUGGCUCGCUGCGAUUAGUCUGCGACUCGUCGUGAUUAAUCGCCCCAAGUCGCCCCAGGUGUUAAGAGGAGGAGGAGGAGGGGGAAGAGGAGGGGGAGGAGGGGGGAAGAGGUGUUGUUGCAGGCGGAGGAGGGGGAAGGCAGCUGCUUGGAGUAUAAUUCAGCUCGGAGAAGGCAGCAGCAGCUCGUAGGAGCAAUGGAGGCGGCGAUUCUGAUGUGGGAUGGGAGCACGUGUCUUGCUCCUCCUCUGUUUCGUGCUAGAGAGCUGGCCCAAUAGGCCCAUUAUGUAACCCUAGCUUCCAGAUAAAAAUCCCAACCGUCCAUAUGCUCUAAUCUGAACCGUGCAUCUGCUCCCAUGUGCCUUUCUCCUUCGUCUCUUCCGUGCUUCUCCUCGUACAGGCGGCGCACUCUCCAGCUUCGUCUCCUCCUCCCCUCCCUCGAACUCUGGCCUCCUCACCUUCCCAGUCUUCCCUCCCUUGGCCUUGCUGAAGCAAGCCGCCCUGCUCUGAGGUCCUAGUCACCCGACUAGUCGUCGACUAAUCGUCGACUAGCCUACCAGUCGCGCGACUCGCUCCUCAAGCCAAGUCGCCUGCGCAAGCCAACCUCGCUCCAACAACUUGGCGAUUAGUCGGCGAUUAGUCGGCGACUCAAAAACCUUGCAUAUAGUUUUGUGUUUUCGGAAACGUCUAAAGGCUUGUUACAUGCAUCAUUUUCUCUUCCAUAUCCUUCAUCUGAAACUGAAAAUACGAACCAUUUUGUUGAUAUGAACAUUAGUUGCAAGGUGAAUAAAUAGUGGUCGACGAUGUGGCUGGAUGUACAUGAGCAUAUGUUUUAUCUUUGACGCCAUUCAUUUUGAAUCAUUAGAAUAAUAAAAUAGGUUUGUUUGGAUAAUUAUUUUCCAGGUUUCUAAACACAUUUAUUUAUCUAUUUUGUAUCCACACAUAUGUUUCCCUAAAUAAAAUGACUGUACAAUUGUGUGAACUGAGUGGCUGGUCGUUACUGUAGAUUAAAUUUCUCACAUUAAGAAUCUUUGCCUGAUGCUACAAAAAAAAUCUAUGUUUUGUAGCAGGAUUAAUGAUCAAAUAUAUCCUUUUUAUUGUAAAUAUUUUAGUCUGCUACUUUGUUCAUUAAUUUUUCUGGGUAUUUAUGCUUAAGUUUUAUUUCAAAGCAAAAUCAUAUUGAGCUAUCUACAAGUUAGAAUUGUCCAAAACGGUUUUUGUAACAUUGUAUAUCAUGUGUUUUCUCUUUUAUUCAUAACAUAAUAUGCAGUCACACAAUUUAUAUCUCGGUUGUGAAUUCCAGAGGGAAGGAUAGCCUUCCUGGCAGUUAGAGCUUCGUCACUUGCUGAUCUAACAGUAUAGACAAGCAAUGCAAGCCAACCAAGAAAAAUAGUUAGGGAAGCACCGAGUUCGCCGGAGGUAGCAGAACGUUUGUCGAGCCAUCCAAUAUUGCCAACGGUGGCUACACCAGAGAUAAUUUGCUUCAGUUAAUCGAACUACAUGCUGAAACAUGUGUAUUGUUUCUCAAUAUAUUGGGCAUCAAUUCACCCCUCAUGAGAUCUCUGAAUUUUCUACGCAUAUUGUAUUUGCUGAAUUAUUUCCUCCAGAUAACUAUGCUUGGAUUCACAAAUGCGUGCAAUGCUUUCAAGUAGAGGUUAGUUCAAUACUUAAGUUGUGAUAUUCCACUUUCAACUUUUUGGUCCUAGAAGUGUAAUACUUGGUAGGUUAGCUGCAAAAGCGGAAUGUAUAUGGCCUGAAUUUAUAUUUCAGAGUGUAUAAUCUGAUUCAGAGUAUUU